CAGAGAACCGCGACGUGGCGUAUGGUGGACUAUAAUUUUUUUUUUUUUUUCCAUUUCUUCUCUCUUCUUCCCGACUCUCUCUUUCUUCUCUCUCCUUCUGAACGCGAUAGAAGAUGCAAUUCAUCCAAAAUUCAGGAAAUUCAAUCGAUUCCCGACAUCGAUUGAAUUAGCCAAUUUAUCGAUUCACCGGAAACAUAGUCGGAGACAGCAACGGGGAACAAUUGCCGGAGGAAGAGGUCAGUGACGUCGAUCAAAAUUUCCAAUGGAGUCACUGCUUUUAUCCGGAAACAGAAUCAAUCGGACCGAGUCAAGAAAGGUUUGAUUCUGCAUGAUCAUGUGAAGAAUUGGGUCAAGAGAAGAGUGGAUUCUGGAGUUUCUGAGACGAGAUGUUUCCUCCCUUUUCUUGUUGGGGCCAAGACAAUGGUACUUUUUUUUUUUGUGUUUCUGUUUGUCUAGUUAUAAAGUUUGUGUGAAAUAUUUGAUUAGUAUUGGAUUGUGAAUUUACCCUUUUUGGCUUUAGUGAACUCCGUGUAAGAUUUCAUAUGUUUUCUCAAAUUCAGAUAUGGUUUGGCUAUCAGAUUUUAGAGUUAUUGUUUAUCAAUCUUGAAGUCAACUACUGACUUGUGAAGUUGUUAGAUUUAUUGAUUAGGUAGGGAAUUGAAAUGGAUUAGUUUGAUUGGGACAUGGGGAGAGCUUAGGAUGCUCUAGAAUUCACCUUAGGACUCUUUCGUUUGGUUGUCCUGUGUUUGUCACUUGUAUUCAGAUUUAGAGAGGAAUAAAGGAAGAUAUUGAUUCUGGUUCUUAUCAGCUUUUCUGAUGAGAAAACAGCUGAGUAGCAAUAGAAAACCUUGCUAAGUCUGAUAUUUAUGCUUAGACUAUGUUUUCACAAUGAGUUUUUCAUUACGUAGUGAUAGCAGGAAUGCUAAUAGUACAAACAAUAACACUUUCCGAUUUAUGGUGCUUUACAAGACAGUGAACUUUUGUUGUAUAGGGUUUAACCGUUUGUUGUCUUGUUUGAUUGUUGUUCAGACUGUUGUUCUAUGAUCAAAAGGUAUGAACUUCUCAUGUCUGUUUAGUAGUAUAGGGUUUAACCGUUUGUUGUCUUGUUUGAUUGUGAGAAUGUUAGAUGUUUUUUUUAUUGUGACCCGCGUGUUGUUGUUAGGAGUACAGUUGAUUUUUUGCUUGAUGUUUUGUUAAUGUUAUAGUGUGAUUAACAUUCACUCUUUUGCCAUGUUUUGUGCGAGGUUUAUACCAACUGGACAAUGGGUUUUAAUGGUGAAGAGGGGUGUUCAUCAGCUUGACAUUGGGAGUGGAUUCUCGUAGUUGAAAAGAUAAACAAUGUGGGAGCUAUUCGGUCAAAGCCGACGGUGGACUAUACAGCAGAGAAUUUCUCGUUUCAUAUUUCGACCAACUUAGAAUCUGCUUAUCAUCUGAGCCAGCUUGCGCAUCCUCUGCUUAAGACUUCCGGAAGUGGGAACAUCGUGUUCAUGUCUUCUAUUGCUGGAGUUGUAUAGCUUUAUGUUGGUUCCAUCUACUCUGCAACAAAAGGUAAUAUACUAAAUUAUGGAAGAACACAAAAAAAAAACCUCUCUGCUUCUUUGUAUCUUACAAUAGUUUUCACAUGUAAAUAUAACAAAGCCAUAAAAAAGAAACCUCUAUUUUGAAUUUUGUAAAAUAUGUUUAAUAUUCCAAAGUUUGUAAAA
Camelina sativa (false flax) is the source of this 1703-nucleotide long non-coding RNA. RefSeq lists it as uncharacterized. NCBI's taxonomy places the organism in Eukaryota, Viridiplantae, Streptophyta, Magnoliopsida, Brassicales, Brassicaceae. The record is from RefSeq and is a predicted model, not a curated record.